AUGGACUCUUCCUCUACUGCCUCCGCCUCCGCCCCUGCUCCGGCUGCCUCCACCCACAGCAGCGAUAGCGGGGGGCCCGCCGCUGCCCUGUCGGCAGCGGUCGCCACGGCAUCCCGGCGGUUUCAGCACCUGCUGGACCGGUCAACUCCGUACGUGGGCCGCCGUUGGCUGGGCCUCGCUGGGGUAGUGUUGGUGUACGCGCUGCGCGCGUGGUUCGUCGGCGGCUACUACAUCGUGACCUAUGCCCUCGGCAUCUACCUCCUCAACCUCCUCAUCGCCUUCCUGUCGCCUCAGGUCGACCCCGAGCUCGCCGAGGGGCCCGCGCUCCCCACGCGCUCCUCGGAUGAGUUCCGUCCUUUCGUCCGCCGCCUGCCCGAGUUCAAGUUCUGGUAUUCUAUAGUUAAAGCAUUCUGCAUUGCUUUUGGCAUGACAUUCUUCAGUGUGUUCGAUGUGCCAGUGUUUUGGCCUAUCCUUCUUUUCUAUUGGGUGGUGUUGUUUACUGUCACAAUGAAGCGUCAGAUCCUUCACAUGGUGAAAUACAGAUAUGUUCCAUUCACCUUUGGGAAACAGGUACCUUAG
Molecule: ribosomal RNA, 579 nt
Filed under: Triticum aestivum (bread wheat)
Lineage: Eukaryota; Viridiplantae; Streptophyta; Magnoliopsida; Poales; Poaceae
Description: partial small subunit ribosomal RNA
Source: RNAcentral